This 278-nucleotide long non-coding RNA is filed under the name Elaeis guineensis (African oil palm). RNAcentral's name for it is "long non-coding RNA (EGUI_LNC064402)". Lineage: Eukaryota; Viridiplantae; Streptophyta; Magnoliopsida; Arecales; Arecaceae. The record is from RNAcentral.
ACAGGGUAGUGGCCAUAGCUGCAUAAAGGAAAAUCAGACCUCUAUUAGUACAUAAAUUAUAAAUACUAAAGACUUGGACUUUAGUCUAAAGUUUCUCCCAGUAAUUUUACAAACUGAUAGACUCAACCUCCAAUUCGAGGAAUUACUUUAAUUUCUUAAUGGGUACUAGAAUCCACACAGACUACACACGAGCCCAACUUUGGUUGGUCAAUCCAUGUGCAUCUAUGGGUAGGUUCAUAACCAGUUGUUUCUCUAAACAACUUCUAGUAAUUGAUUUU